GAAAUAUAUGCCUACUUCCAUAGCUCAGUUUAUAAAAUGGAAGAGUGAAGAGAUUCUAUUUACAAAGUUCUGAUUUUACUCUAGCCAGGAAACAUUAAAAAAUUAUCUGUAAGCUCUGUAAAGGCAGGAAUUGAAUCUUUAUUGAUCUGUGUGCUGCACUUGGUGAGUAAUAAAAAUAUAUUUGUUGAAUGAAUUAAAUUAGUGACUCUUUAGAAAAGGAGAGUGAAGAACAUGGGGCAUGCAGGUAGGGAGCUCAGGUGACCUGGUUUUCCUGUAACUGAGAUGUUUUUCUGGGAUUGGGGAAGAUCUUUUUAGAAAAGGAGGUUGAAG
RNAcentral lists this long non-coding RNA (330 nucleotides) under Homo sapiens (human). RNAcentral's name for it is "non-protein coding lnc-ZNF333-2:1". The record is from RNAcentral. Lineage: Eukaryota; Metazoa; Chordata; Mammalia; Primates; Hominidae.